Molecule: ribosomal RNA, 467 nt
Filed under: uncultured bacterium
Lineage: Bacteria
Description: partial 16S ribosomal RNA
Rfam family: Bacterial small subunit ribosomal RNA
Source: RNAcentral
GAAGAAAGAGGGAGGCGUGCUUAACACAUGCAAGUCGAACGAUGACGACCGAGCUUGCUCGGUCUGAUUAGUGGCGAACGGGUGAGUAACACGUGAGCAACCUGCCCUUCACUCUGGGAUAACCUCGGGAAAUCGGGGCUAAUACCGGAUAUGAGCUCCUGUCGCAUGGCGGGUGUUGGAAAGUUUUUCGGUGAAGGAUGGGCUCGCGGCCUAUCAGUUUGUUGGUGAGGUAGUGGCUCACCAAGGCGAUGACGGGUAGCCGGCCUGAGAGGGCGACCGGCCACACUGGGACUGAGACACGGCCCAGACUCCUACGGGAGGCAGCAGUGGGGAAUAUUGCACAAUGGGCGAAAGCCUGAUGCAGCGACGCCGCGUGAGGGAUGACGGCCUUCGGGUUGUAAACCUCUUUCAGCAGGGAAGAAGCGAAAGUGACGGUACCUGCAGAAGAAGCGCCGGCUAACUACGUG